GACAGAGGGGGCAAGCGUUGUCCGGAAUUACUGGGCGUACAGCGCACGCAGGUGGCCUGGCAAGUGUGGUGUGAAAGCCCCGCGCUUAACGCGGGGAGGCCAGCACAGACUGUCGGGCUCGAGGGCUGCAGAGGGUGGUGGAAUUGCCGGUGUAGUGGUGAAAUGCGUAGAGAUCGGCAGGAACACCAAGGCCGAAGGGAGCCACCUGGGCAGCAUCUGACACUCAUGUGCGACAGCGUGGGGAGCGAACCGG
This 253-nucleotide ribosomal RNA is filed under the name uncultured bacterium. RNAcentral's name for it is "partial 16S ribosomal RNA". It matches the Rfam family "Bacterial small subunit ribosomal RNA", at positions 524 to 776 of the family's 1533-position model. The record is from RNAcentral.